AUUGUCCGAAUAAUCGGCCGACUUAGGUAAUUCACCCAAUUUGAACGAGCUCAAAUUAUUUUUAACCAAACAGACAAAAAAAUUAUUGAACUGAUGGAUGUUUCCUCACACAGAAGAAACCAAUCCGCCACCACCUCCAUCGCCUCGCCGCCGUCACAUUGCUCAAAUUCGGCGGCUGUUUAUCACUUCAAAUCUUACUAAUCGGCAGUCAAAAGUCUUCCCCUUGAACGAAAGCGGCAAACUUUGAGAAAGACUGACCUUGAUUUUGGUCUUUUGGAACCAAACCCAUUUGUCUCUCUCGAAGGGAAAAAAAAAUGGAGGACUUCUUUGGGGAUUCUAUUGUUGGGUCUCAUCUUUCUUGACAAACCCCAUUGGAAUUUUGAUAAAUAUAUCUAAAACGAUUCAGAAAUCCCAACAUAACUCAAAACUCCAUAAUGGGUAUGCAUAGGAUUCUACAUUUUUAAGAAAAUAAUUGUAUCUCUCUUAAUACGCAGAAGAUUCAGAGCUCACUGACGGCUAAACAAUCACUACUUCUAGUUCUUUAGUCUCGCAGCUGGUUGGAGUCAUGAAGAAGCUUAUGGACAACGUAUAGAGGUGAAGUGGUGUGAAGAAAGGAAGUGCACUAACUUUCAAAAUGUGAGGGUUAUCUAGCCAGGAUAGUAGUGCUUCUCUUUCAAGAAACAUUUUGAGGCAUUAGCUACUUUACUGAGAUGUGAUGUGAAGAGUAUUGGAGUAACCAAAUAUGCUGAUGAUGCUUUCUUCAAUAUAUUUUAUGCUUACUUACUGUUCACAAUAGCAAAUAGCAUCUUUGCCUUUGUCUUUACACCCUUACAUUUUUCUGCUUAUACAUUGCAGCAGAAAGAGCUACAGUUUGACAUCUUUGAAGCCUAUCUGCCUGUCUUCUCCUUGCUAUAGUUUAUGAUCCCUUAAAAUCUCAUGUUUCAAUAAUGGUGAAAUUUCUUCCUGGUUUAUUAGGCUUCCUAGAAUCAUAAACAAUGAUAAAUACCUUGAUAUCCGGGUUGCAAUAUACUGUUAACAAUCUUAAACCUGUCAUCCAAUCAACUUUUCUCCCAAUACACUUCAAGACAGAGCAGUCGAUCAAUGAUUAUAUAAGCUUCUUGUGCAAGCAAAACCUUUUCAAACAAGCUCUUGAUGCGUUUGACUUCUUGCAAAAACAUACAAGUUUUCAUGUGAAGCCCAGCACUUAUGCCCAGCUGAUAUCUGCCUGCUCGUCUUUGAGAUCUGUAGAUCAAGGAAGAAAAAUCCAUAACCAUAUCCUUAUACACAGCUGUCAGCCCGACAUGAUUCUUCAAAAUCAUCUUCUCAAUAUGUAUGGGAAAUGUGGUGCCUUGAAGGAUGCUCAAAGGGUUUUCGAUGAAAUGCCAAAGAGAAAUGUGGUUUCUUGGACUUCUGUAAUUGCUGGAUACUCACAGCAUGGUCAAGAAAUUGAUGCAAUAAAGCUGUAUUUUCUAAUGCAAAAAUCUGGCCUUAUGCCAGAUCAGUUCACCUUUGGAAGCAUAAUAAGAUCUUGCUCAAGUUUGAGUUCCAUUGAGCUAGGGAGGCAGUUGCAUGUUCAUGUCAUUAAAUCAGAAUUUGGUUCCCACCUUAUUGCACAAAAUGCUUUGAUUGCAAUGUACACAAAAUUUGGUCAAAUUGCUGAUGCAUUGGAUGUGUUUUCUGGUAUUAAAAAAAAGGAUUUAAUUUCAUGGAGUUCAAUGAUUGCGGGCUUUUCACAACUUGGUUACGAGUUAGAAGCAUUGAGCCAUUUUAAAGAAAUGCUGUCUCAAGGUGUUUAUCAGCCAAAUGAAUUUGUUUUUGGUAGUGCUUUUAGUGCUUGUGGCAGUCUCCUGCAACCAGAAUGUGGGAGGCAGAUACAUGGGAUGAUUACAAAAUUUGGGCUAGGGAGAGACACUUUUGCAGUUUGCUCGCUUAGUGAUAUGUAUGCAAAAUGUGGUCUAUUGGAUUUUGCAAAAACAGCUUUCUAUCAGAUAGAGAGGCCUGAUUUAGUCUCUUGGAAUGCAAUCAUUGCAGGGUUUGCAUAUGGUGGUGAUGCAGACGAAGCCAUGCUGUUUUUUUCUCAGAUGAGGCAUCUGGCAUUGAGCCCAGAUGAUAUCACAGUUCGCUCCCUGCUUUGUGCCUGCACAGGUCCAGUUAACCUAAAUCAAGGCAUGCAGAUACACUCAUACCUUAUCAAAGUGGGUUUUGAUUUAGGUAUAGCAGUGUGUAACACUUUACUUUCAAUGUAUGCAAAGUGUUCAGAUCUUUAUGAUACAUUUAAAAUGUUCAACGAGAUGACAAGCAAUGCAGAUUCCGUUUCUUGGAAUACUGUUCUUGCUGCAUGUAUGCAGCACAACCAAGCUGGGGAGGUUUUCUCAUUAUUAAAAAUGAUGCUUCCAUCUCAAAAUAAGCCUGACCAUAUUACUUUAGUCAGUGUACUGGGAGCUUGUCGAGAAAUAGCCUCUCUAGAAAUGGGGGAUCAAGUUCAUUGCUAUGCUAUGAAAACUGGGCUCAGGCUCGAUAACUCCGUCACAAAUGGACUGAUUGACAUGUAUAUGAAAUGUGGCUCUCUACGAAAUUCUCAAAAGCUCUUUGAUUCCAUUGAGAGUCCUCAUGUUGUCUCCUGGAGUAGUUUGAUUGUGGGUUAUGCUCAGUUUGGACAUGGACAAGAAGCUCUUAAACUCUUUGGGAAAAUGAGAAGUUUAGGUGUCAAGCCAAAUCAAGUGACAUUUGUUGGGGUUCUAACUGCUUGCAGUCAUGUUGGCCUGGUAGAAGAAGGUUUACAAUUGUACCGUACCAUGGAAAUGGAUCACGGGGUUGUACAUUCUAGAGAACACUGCUCAUGUGUGGUCGACUUGCUUGCUCGUGCUGGACGUAUAAAUGAAGCAGAAGAUUUUAUCAAUCAAUUGCCAUUUGAUCCUGAUAUUGUCAUGUGGAAGACUCUGCUAGCUGCUUGUAAGAACCAUAAUAAUGUUGAGGUUGGAAAACGUGCUGCUGAAAAUAUUCUGAAAAUUGAUCCAUUCAACUCUGCUGCUCAUGUAUUACUUUGCAACAUAUAUGCAUCUGACAGCAGUUGGGAAGAUGUUGCUAGAGUACGGAGUUUGAUGAAAAAAAGGAAUGUCAAGAAAGUUCCCGGUCAGAGUUGGAUUGAAGUUAAAGACAACAUCCAUGUUUUCUUGGCAGAAGAUAGUUUGCAUUCAGAAAGGGACAAAAUAUACUCGAUGCUAGAGGAAUUGUGGUUGCAGAUGCUGGAUGCUGGUUAUGUUCCGUUCAAAGAUAAGCUUCAUGAGUGAACUAUUGGUGGGGUUAAAUUAGUGAUGACGCGAUCUUCAGGUUCAACAUCAUGCCCAAUCUUCAGAAAGUUCUAGUUUGAUCUUGGAUUUGCUAGAUUGAUCAUGUCUGAAGUCUGUGGAGAUCAUUGGUCUCUUGGCCAUACCCCAGUUUCAGGAGGAGAAGGGAUUUGCAUUGGCGGUCAGACAUUGAGAGUCAUUUGUGCCCCAGGGCAUACAGAUGGCCACAUGGCGUUACUUCAUGUCAGUGCUCACUCGUUGAUUGUAGGUGAUCAUUGUGUGGUUGGUCAUUGGCAUUCUUCUGGACAUGAAGAUUGUUACCAUCAAGAUGUUUGCUAAAAAGAGUUGAUGUUGGUGAUUCCUAAUAGAUUCACAGAGAGCGAGAGAUUAUUUGUUUCUCCAGAUUGCAAGGAAAGACGGAAAAGAUUUGAAGAGUUCCCUCUUGGCCCACCAUUUCCUUUCCACCCAAGCCAAGAUGGAAGCCAAGCAAGCCCACUUUGGCUCUGUCUGGAGUACUCAAAAGAGAAGGGUGAUGUUGAGGAAGUUGAUGAAUUUUCAAGGUUACAGACAGAGCUCGUUCGAAUUAAAGGAUUUGAUGAGAAAAGAAAGAAAAUGGAGAGAGAGAUGUGCAAUUUUUUAGGGCUUAUAUUGGUAAUAAUAGUUUAUUUUUUAAUUUUAUAUGUUCAUGUAGUAUUUAUCUUUUCAGCGGUGCUAGAGGCCUCGAAUUCGAGGGCUCGAAUUUGCUUUGACAACAAUUUAUUUAUUUGUUUAUUUGUUUAUUUU
This is a non-coding RNA of Camellia sinensis, 4070 nucleotides long. The record is from RefSeq and is a predicted model, not a curated record. NCBI's taxonomy places the organism in Eukaryota, Viridiplantae, Streptophyta, Magnoliopsida, Ericales, Theaceae.